GGGCCAUAGCUCAUUGGUAGAGCAUCUGAUUUUUCAUGCAGAAGGUCCCAGGUUUAAUCCCCAGCACCUCCA
Non-coding RNA from Podarcis lilfordi (Lilford's wall lizard), 72 nucleotides. The record is from the annotation of a GenBank genome assembly. Lineage: Eukaryota; Metazoa; Chordata; Lepidosauria; Squamata; Lacertidae.